CGCGACCUCAGGUCAGGCGGGC
RNAcentral lists this ribosomal RNA (22 nucleotides) under Vachellia farnesiana (sweet acacia). RNAcentral's name for it is "partial large subunit ribosomal RNA". The record is from RNAcentral. Lineage: Eukaryota; Viridiplantae; Streptophyta; Magnoliopsida; Fabales; Fabaceae.